AGUGAACGCUGGCGGUAGGCCUAACACAUGCAAGUCGAACGGCAGCACAGUAAGAGCUUGCUCUUACGGGUGGCGAGUGGCGGACGGGUGAGGAAUACAUCGGAAUCUACUUUUUCGUGGGGGAUAACGUAGGAAAACUUACGCUAAUACCGCAUACGACCUACGGGUGAAAGCAGGGGAUCUUCGGACCUUGCGCGAUUGAAUGAGCCGAUGUCGGAUUAGCUAGUUGGCGGGGUAAAGGCCCACCAAGGCGACGAUCCGUAGCUGGUCUGAGAGGAUGAUCAGCCACACUGGAACUGAGACACGGUCCAGACUCCUACGGGAGGCAGCAGUGGGGAAUAUUGGACAAUGGGCGCGAGCCUGAUCCAGCCAUACCGCGUGGGUGAAGAAGGCCUUCGGGUUGUAAAGCCCUUUUGUUGGGAAAGAAAAGCAGCAGGUUAAUACCCCGCUGUUCUGACGGUACCCAAAGAAUAAGCACCGGCUAACUUCGUG
Molecule: ribosomal RNA, 492 nt
Filed under: uncultured bacterium
Lineage: Bacteria
Description: partial 16S ribosomal RNA
Rfam family: Bacterial small subunit ribosomal RNA
Source: RNAcentral